RNAcentral lists this ribosomal RNA (498 nucleotides) under uncultured Oxalobacteraceae bacterium. RNAcentral's name for it is "partial 16S ribosomal RNA". The record is from RNAcentral. Lineage: Bacteria; Pseudomonadati; Pseudomonadota; Betaproteobacteria; Burkholderiales; Oxalobacteraceae.
CACGUAGUUAGCCGGUACUUAUUCUUCAGGUACCGUCAUUAGCGAAGGAUAUUAGCCUUCACCGUUUCUUCCCUGACAAAAGAGCUUUACAACCCGAAGGCCUUCUUCACUCACGCGGCAUUGCUGGAUCAGGCUUUCGCCCAUUGUCCAAAAUUCCCCACUGCUGCCUCCCGUAGGAGUCUGGACCGUGUCUCAGUUCCAGUGUGGCUGGUCGUCCUCUCAGACCAGCUACUGAUCGUGGCCUUGGUGAGCCUUUACCUCACCAACUAGCUAAUCAGAUAUCGGCCGCUCCAGGAGCACAAGGUCCGAAGACUCCCCUGCCUUUCAUCCUUAGAUCGUAUGGCGGUAUUAGGCGUUAACUUUCGCUUACGUUACUCCCCCACUCUUGGUACGUUCCGAUAUAUUACUCUACCCGUUCGCCUACGUCCGCCGUCCAGGGUUCGCCCCCGCGCCUCGCCGUUCGACUUGCAUGUAGUAAGCAUCGCCGCAGCGUUACAA